RNAcentral lists this ribosomal RNA (301 nucleotides) under uncultured bacterium. Its description in RNAcentral is "partial 16S ribosomal RNA". It matches the Rfam family "Bacterial small subunit ribosomal RNA", at positions 509 to 807 of the family's 1533-position model. The record is from RNAcentral.
CAGCAGCCGCGGGAAUACGUAGGGUGCGAGCGUUAAUCGGAAUUACUGGGCGUAAAGCGUGCGCAGGCGGUUGUGUAAGACAGGUGUGAAAUCCCCGGGCUUAACCUGGGAACUGCGCUUGUGACUGCACAGCUAGAGUAUGGCAGAGGGGGGUGGAAUUCCACGUGUAGCAGUGAAAUGCGUAGAGAUGUGGAGGAACACCGAUGGCGAAGGCAGCCCCCUGGGCCAAUACUAACGCUCAUGCACGAAAGCGUGGGGAGCAAACAGGAUUAGAUACCCCUGUAGUCCCUGUCUCUUAUAC